AAGCGACGCAGUACAAAGUGAUGCCGCACAAGGCCACUGAGAGUUUAGUAUAUUCCAAAACGUAGAAGAGAGUAGACGUUAUAUUUCAAAAUUUUUGAUUUCGUUUACAUCAUGGCUACGAGUGGGAAGAAGUGCGUUUUUAACUGUAGCAUGAUCAGUGAAAAAAUAAUAAUUUUCGAAGAAGACAAACUAAAAAAGUGCCAACAUAUUUCCAAAGUUCGUGUCGCUUUUGAUUUGAAAUACAGUGAUAUUGUGUUACCAGAAAUAGUAGACGGUGUCAGUGGUUAUCAUCGACUUGGCUAUAAAGCAUUUACAUCCAUCCAAAAUAAAUAUUUGGAUAAAUAUAACGAGAGCAAUCAAUUGGAAGUAGCAAAAUCAUCACAAGGUCACACGUCCAUUGAGGCAUCUGCGUCUCCGCAGGCCGAACAUUCGGCAGUGAGUAAUCAAUCCAUAGGAGAUGAUUUUCCGCAAGGUUCCACAUCUAUUAUUUCACAAUGCGACAAUUCAGCUGGUAAUAUAUUUUUAGUUUAUAUAUUAUAUAGUAUGCACAUACUUUUAAUAGAAAAUAAUUUUCAAAAUGUGCAUCGGUAUUUAAAAAUAUUUUAAAAAAAUUAAUUGAUGUAUUAAAUAUAUAUAAAUGUUUCAGAAGAAAAUGACGAUAACGUUCGGUCGUCUGAUAUAUUCAGUGGCAGUCAACUUUCACAUGAACAAUUAGAUGUGGAACGACAACCUGAAAAUUUAAAAUUGAAGAAUGCAGGUAUCUGUUUGUUUUGUAAUCAAGCAAGGAAGAAGCAAGGGCAAAAAGCGCUUCUUUUGAUACGAUCUGAAAGUGAAAUUUUAAUUGAAAAAAUUGUCACAAAUGCAACUGCCUUAAAUGACAAUGAAACAUUAUCGAAAAUCGACAGAUUGGGGGAUAAUCGUGUUGUUUAUUACCAUAAUACAUGUAAAUUGAUGUAUUUUAAAAAACACAUUGCGGCUCCGGAGCCAAAACAGUCAGAUUGGCAUAUUGCAAGAAACGUUCAUGAGUUAGUUGACAAUGAACUGUAUUCUUUCAUCGCUGAAAAUACAAUAGGAAAGAAGCAAUGCUAUUCUUUAAAAUUUUUAGUACAGUAUGCCAAAAGUGCGUUGUAUAAAUUGUUUUCGGAGAAAUAUGAUAGUUUCGGACCAUUAAUAACGAGUACGAAAUUGCUUCAAAAGAUUGAAAAAAAAUUUGCCAAGCAGUUACAAAUAAUUGAAUUGCAUGACCGGAAAAUUAUUGCACCGAGCGGAAAAUGUAUUAUAUCCGCAGAAACAUUUAGCAAAUUUGAAGAUACCGAAACAUUGCAACGAGCUGCAUAUGUUUUGAGGAAAAAAAUUAUGGCCAUAAAAAAAGAUCCGCUACCUCAACAGCUGACUGCAGAGGACCUGAUCAAAGGCGAAUGUAAAAUUCCUAAUGAUAUUGUACAAUUUUUAACUUCUUUAAUCUGCGGAAAUGAUCCCAGAACUGUGAAAAGUUCCAAUUGUUCUCGAAAAGUCAACUCUAUAGCCCAAGAUUUAGUUUAUGCUAUUCAUAAUGGUAAAAUCAAAACGUCCUGAGACAAAAGCAUGACAAGUAGCCGCAAAGUUAUAGAUUUACUUAAUAAAUAUGGUCAAUGUGUUAGUUACAAUACUGUUGAGGAGUUGGAAACGGAAGCGACGUUUUCAUCCCUCAGUAAAUCAGUAAUCUGUCCUCAAAGUAUUGAAUUAUCCCCUCACUACUGCACAGGAGUGGCAUUUGACAAUUACGAUCGAUUUGUUGAAACGUGUAGCGGAAAAGAUACGCUGCAUGAUACAGUGGGAAUUAUAUAUCAAAAUAUAAUAGCAGGUCAGUCCAGUUCUGACAAACCUGAAGCUGAAAACAUUAUUAUUCGUGCACCUCCUGCGAAAAGGAGAAGAACAUAUGAAGUUAUAUCGACGGAGAUACUUCCGUACUUGAAAAAACCAAAGCUCACUGACCGAUUAUUACCUCUUGGAAGCAAUUUACGUGAUGUUGAAGCCAGUAAUUAUGUUUUUUACAAAAAGUUAGAUGUAACAUGGGUAAUUUCACAUUACCUAAAAAUUUCUAAUACACCUAUGUGGGUCGGGUAUAAUAGUAAAAUUGUAGAUGAUCAGUCAGUUAAACAAAAGGUAUCUUAUCUUACACCGAUUAAUAUUUCACCUACGAACGUAUCUGUUGUCAUCGAAACAAUGCGCCAAAGCCAAAAAAUAGCAGAAGAAUGUUCGCAACAGUACAUACAAGUGACGUAUGAUUUGGCAAUCGCAAAAGUAGCUUAACAAAUUCAGUGUACGGAGAAACCACAGUUCAAUAAUCUUUUCAUUCAUCUUGGUGGUUUCCAUAUAAUGAUGGCUUAUUUUAAAGCUGUUGGAAAAUUUAUAGAUGAGAGUGGUCUACCAUAUAUGAUGGUUGAAAGUGGGUUAUUGGCUUCAGGAUCAGUAAACGGAUUUUUAACUGGCAAACAUUUCAAUCGCUGUAAACGAUUGCACCCGUUAGUGACCUUAGGAUUGCGAUCAUUACUUUUCGAAGAAUUCCUGCGAAAAGAAGAUAAAACCAUCGACAAUGAUUUGAUCGAGAUUGUUAAUCAAUUGCAAUCAACAACUUUAUCGACAUUUGAAAUUCAAAAUACAUCAUUGAAUGAUUUAUUGAAUGAAUACUUGAUAUUUGAAUCGGAAGUGUUAAACGGAAAACACGGUAAAACUGCACAGUAUUACGCGAUGUACAUUCGCUUUGUUAAUUACUAUCUUUUGUUUUCAAGAAGCAUUCGUCUCGGUGAUUUUGAACUUUCCAAAAAAGUCAUACCAAAGUUAGUCAACUUAUUUUUUGUUUUCAAUCAAGGAAAUUAUUCUCGAUGGCUACUAAAAUAUCAUGAUAAUUUGUUAAGAGUGCAAAUAACACAUCCAGGCCUCGAGAAUGAUUUUAAAAAUGGAUUUUUUGGUGUAAAGAGGACAGAAAAGACAUUUUCACGAAUGCCUGUUGAUUUGACGUUAGAGAAAACGGUUAAUGCUACUGCUUCAAGAUGAUUAACAGGUAUAACGCACUUUACAAAUUCUAUCUCAGCGCGGCAAAGAUGUGCUAAAAGCCAUGGUAUCCGAUCAACUAUUGUAUCAUAUACAUUCGAUGUAACAGGUUUAAAAAGAAGUCAAGAUAUUACCGGAGACUUAGAAAAACACCAAAUUAAAUAAGAUACUACUCAGUUGCAAAAUUUUAUAACUAUAUUAAAACAAAAUAUGAAUCCUUUCAAUACCGAAGAUACUCAAAGUAGCGAAGACACUCAGAGCAGUGAAAACACUCAGAGCAGAGAAGAUACUCGGAGCGAUGAAUUGUUUAAUAUUGCUACUGGACGAGCAGCAUCGAAAGAAGUGACCGAUUUUUUAUUAAAUGUCGAAAAAACUGGCCAUUGUUUAAGAGAAAAGUUUAUUUCUGAAUGUGCUGAGUCUGAUGAUCGUUUCGAAUUAACUAUUAAACAAAAUAAAAUACUGAAUUUUGCUACUUCAACCCAGAAAAGAUUUGUCUCGAUAAAUAAUAAAGUUCAAGAAGUACGACUGCAGCGUGACUUGUUCAGCCGAAUGGUAGCCAUUUCAAUGAAUGACAAUACUAAUGUUGAAAAAAUUUUGACUUAUCCUCUAACACCUGUUCCAAUGUGUAUGUGUCACUUGGAUGGAUCGAUUUAUAAAACAGAUAAAUCUGUUUUAUUGAAGUCGUUGGAAAAAGAUGUUCAAAGUACAGCCCCAAGCUGCACUGACAUUUGUUUAAUAGACGGAUUCUUUCCCAUACAUUGUAUCAAGGAUUUACCAAAAACAUUCGGAAGCAUCUCCAAAAAAAUACUUCAAAUGGUGACUAACAAUGCAGCCCGUGAAAUUCAUGUAAUUUUUGAUAGAUAUUGGUCACCAUCUAUCAAAGAUUACGAAAGAUCUCAGCGAAGCGGUUCCUCUGGUAAUCAUAUGUACGUGAUUUCUGGACCUGAACAAUCAAGACCAUCAGACUUCAAUAAAGAACUCCGAAAUAGCUUUUUCAAAGAAGCACUCGUGAAAUUUUUAAUCGUCAAUUGGCAAAAUCACGAAUUAAUUCCAUUCUUUCACAAUAAAAAAGUGCUACUCAAUUUUGAUAACUGUUAUCAAUAUGAAGCUGUGAAUGAACGCAUAUUAUUUUCAAAAAAUAAUAAGUAUACUCUCGAUUUGCAUGAAGAAGCGGAUUCAAAAAUAGUAUAUCAUGCGUGCAAUAUCGAGUCAACAGCGAACAUUCUAAUAAAAUGCUCAGAUACGGAUAUCUUAAUUAUUAUGUUGGCUAAUAUGAUUCACGUACAACACAAUAGCAAAGUUUAUAUUCAAACAGGGGUUUGGGAUAAGCAACGAAUAAUUGACGUAUCGGCGUUGCAUGAAAAGUUAGGAGAGAGAAUGUGUUAAUCUCUGCCAGGAUUUCAUGCUCUAACUGGCUGCGAUUUUAAUCCCGCAUUAUUUGGUAAGGGAAAGCAACGUCCUUUACAGAUCUUAAAGAAAAAUGAAGACUUACAAAAAGCAUUCGGCCAAAUUGGACAUGAAGACUGUGAUGAAACCGCUGUUUUCCCGAUUCUUGAAAAGUUCAUCUGUAAUUUGUACAACUUUCCGUUGUUGAGCUCCGUAAAUGAUGCGCGAUUCGCCUUAUUUUUAAAAGCAUAUAAGGUCAAUGAUUUGGAGGAACCUUUCCAGAAAAAAAAAUUGCAGAAUUUUGACUCAUCCACUUUACCUCCUACCCAGGCUGAAUUAACGCAGCAUUUAUUGAGGACCAAAUAUAUUGCUACAAUAUGGAAAAAUGCUCAUAAGAAAAUUCUAUCAUAUUUACGACCAGAAACUUGCGGAUGGAUAUUAGUAGAGGAAAAUUAUACAUUUAAAUGGUUCGACGGACCACAGCUGCCUAGUACAAUACAAGAUAUUAUUGAUACUGGAACAAACGAAGGCGAUGAAGACCUUAAUGCAGAAAUUGAAUCAAAUGAAGAAGAAUAUAUCGAUAGCGAAGGAGAUAUCACGUCCGAAUCAGAUUCCGAUUGCGAAUGUGACUGAAAAUGUUAAUGUGCAGCGCACUUUUUAACCUCGUCUGCCGCGGCUUUAGCCCUCAUUUUUUUGUCUGCCAUUUUGUAAAUGACUUUUGGAAUGUUUAAACUUUAAAAUACAAUAAUUGGAAUUCAUGUACCUUAUGAUUUUUUUUUUAAAUUAAUUUUUGCAAUCUUUAGCGCAGUCUGCCGGCGAGUUAGCCCCUCGCAAAAUGUCUGCCAAUUUUUUUACACUUUCUCAAAUAUAUAACAAAACUUUUCCCGUACAUAGAAUCCCUGUACCUUAUGAAUUUUUUCCCACCCAAAAUUCACCCCUUUCACUGCGUAUCCCC
Molecule: unclassified non-coding RNA, 5374 nt
Filed under: Anthonomus grandis grandis
Lineage: Eukaryota; Metazoa; Arthropoda; Insecta; Coleoptera; Curculionidae
Description: uncharacterized LOC126748593
Source: RNAcentral